Molecule: ribosomal RNA, 254 nt
Filed under: Chloroflexota bacterium
Lineage: Bacteria; Bacillati; Chloroflexota
Description: Chloroflexi bacterium (cold seep metagenome) partial 23S ribosomal RNA
Rfam family: Bacterial large subunit ribosomal RNA
Source: RNAcentral
CUGCUCCUAGUACGAGAGGACCGGAGUGGACAGACCUCUGGUGUGCCAGUUGUUCCGCCAGGAGCAUCGCUGGGUAGCCACGUUUGGCAGGGAUAACCGCUGAAAGCAUCUAAGCGGGAAGCUCGCCUCAAGAUAAGAUUCCUCAUCCCGUUAAGGGAGUAAGACCGCAAGAAGACUACUUGCUUAAUAGGCAGCAUGUGUAAGCACAGCAAUGUGUUCAGCUAAGCUGUACUAAUGGUCGAGGGCUUAACUUC